GAGAGUCAAAGAGACCGCGAAACCGUUGGGAGGGAAACGAACGUGGCCAUGAAGACUCCCUUCAGGUUCAGGGAGCCUCGGUUUGGGCGUUUGCUUGGUUGGGGACCCGCUGUCGGGACCCGCCGACGCAAGUCCUUCCAGGCUUCUGCAAUCCCGUCUGGAGUCCGCCAACGGCGGCCGUUCGCGGUCGAGGAGGGUCGUGGGGUAGGUGCCUCUUUGCCGAGCCUUCGCGGGCUUUUGGGGAGGAGAGCUUACAGCCUUCGGCUCGGUAGAUCGGGGAUGGCCGAGGAGCGUUGCGACCAGUCGCACGGCGUAGCGCAGGCUCCGCAGGGGCCGGGUCGCUUCUGGACUUGCGUGCUUCGCGGCGAGCCACUGCCCGCAGUGACAGCCGACGGUAGGUGCGCUUGUGCGGGAGGCGGACCACGAUUUGCGCUUCGGUCGUUGGUGUGCGUAUGGUUCCGUCCGACCCGUCU
This 473-nucleotide ribosomal RNA is filed under the name Eurypon clavigerum. Its description in RNAcentral is "partial 28S ribosomal RNA". Lineage: Eukaryota; Metazoa; Porifera; Demospongiae; Axinellida; Raspailiidae. The record is from RNAcentral.